UUGCGUGAUGACAAAAGGCCAAUUGGCCUGAUCUAACCCAGCUCGUCGAAUGCCUCACCCAAAACAACGCUUAGAGUGCAUACUGAGAGAACGUCCUAUCUGAUUGC
Molecule: small nucleolar RNA, 107 nt
Filed under: Purpureocillium lilacinum
Lineage: Eukaryota; Fungi; Ascomycota; Sordariomycetes; Hypocreales; Ophiocordycipitaceae
Description: A. fumigatus snoRNA Afu_304
Rfam family: A. fumigatus snoRNA Afu_304
Source: Rfam by way of RNAcentral